GGGCCUGCCCAGUGAUAUUUCAACGGCCGCGGUACUCUGACCGUGCAAAGGUAGCAUAAUCAUUUGCCCUAUAAUUAAGGGCUAGUAUGAACGGUCUAACAAGAAUGGAACUGUCUCUUUUAAAAUCCUUAGAAUUUGGUCUUUAGGUGAAGAAACCUAAAUUAUAUUGAUAGACAAGAAGACCCUAUCGAGCUUUAAAACAAUUAGUUAAACAAAUAGAUAACACUAACUUUAGCUAAAAAUUUUGGUUGGGGCGACUAAGGAACAAACAAAGCUUCCUUAAUAAAUUCUACACUAAUAAGUAAUGAUCCAAAAUAUUUGAUUAAUAAAAUUAGUUACCGUAGGGAUAACAGCAUAAUCUUCUUUAAGAGUUCUUAUCGAAAAGAAUGUUUGUGACCUCGAUGUUGGACUAGGAUAUCCAAAAGAUGCAGAAGUCUUUAAAGGUUGGUCUGUUCGACCAAUAAAAUCCUACGUGAUCUAUCU
RNAcentral lists this ribosomal RNA (483 nucleotides) under Bithynia siamensis siamensis. RNAcentral describes it as "partial large subunit ribosomal RNA". It matches the Rfam family "Bacterial large subunit ribosomal RNA", at positions 1854 to 2610 of the family's 2925-position model. Lineage: Eukaryota; Metazoa; Mollusca; Gastropoda; Littorinimorpha; Bithyniidae. The record is from RNAcentral.